This 505-nucleotide ribosomal RNA is filed under the name uncultured bacterium. Its description in RNAcentral is "bacterial SSU rRNA". It matches the Rfam family "Bacterial small subunit ribosomal RNA", at positions 8 to 525 of the family's 1533-position model. The record is from RNAcentral.
AGAGUUUGAUCCUGGCUCAGGACGAACGCUGGCGGCAUGCCUAAUACAUGCAAGUCGAACGCGACCAUCCGGUGCUUGCACUGGUGAAGUCGAGUGGCGAACGGGUGAGUAACACGUGAGAAACCUACCCUGGAGUGGGGAAUAACUCGAAGAAAUUCGAGCUAAUACCGCAUACCUUCUUACUGCCGCAUGGCGGUUUGAAGAAAGAUUUAUCGCUCUGGGAGGGUCUCGCGGCCUAUCAGCUAGUUGGUGAGGUAAUGGCUCACCAAGGCAUCGACGGGUAGCUGGUCUGAGAGGACGAUCAGCCACACUGGAACUGAGACACGGUCCAGACUCCUACGGGAGGCAGCAGUAGGGAAUCUUGCGCAAUGGGCGAAAGCCUGACGCAGCAAUGCCGCGUGCGGGACGAAGGCCCUAGGGUCGUAAACCGCUUUCAGUAGGGACGAAAAUGACGGUACCUGCAGAAGAAGCUCCGGCCAACUACGUGCCAGCAGCCGCGGUAAUA